Molecule: long non-coding RNA, 839 nt
Organism: Clupea harengus (Atlantic herring)
Lineage: Eukaryota; Metazoa; Chordata; Actinopteri; Clupeiformes; Clupeidae
Source: Ensembl
GUGAGUGUCCAUCGGCCCCGUCUUUAUACCUGUUAAGGGUAAAACUUCCAAAAGCAUCACCAAACAGUUGUAGAGAUCAAAGAAGGAGGAAAAAUGGCCUCUCUUCAAUUUUAGCCCCUUCCUCCGUACAGAACAGCUUCAAGUUCAGGACUUUGACUUGGCCAUUACAAAACAUAAACUCUUAUUCUUCUUCUUUUACCAACCUUUGGGAGAUUGAUUUGUGUUUUUGGGGGUUGUGGUCUUGCUGCAUGACCCACGUGUCUUGAGAUUCACUUCAGACAGACAUCCUCACAUUUUCUUUUGGAAUUUGCUGGGAUAAUUCAUAAUGCAUUGAGCUGUCCAGGCCCAGCUGCAAAACAGACCCCAACCAUGAUCCUCCCAUCCCCUCGUGUCACAGAUGGUAUAAGGUUCUUAUGCUUGUUUCACAGAUGGAAUAAGGUUCUUAUGCUUGUGUCACAGAUGGAAUAAGGUUCUUAUGAUUGUGUCACAGAUGGAAUAAGGUUCUUAUAAUUGUUUCACAGAUGAUAUAAGGUUCUUAUGCUUGUGUCACAGAUGGUAUAAGGUUCUUAUGCUUGUUUCACAGAUGGAAUAAGGUUCUUAUGCUUGUUUCACAGAUGGUAUAAGGUUCUUAUGCUUGUUUAUCAGAUGGUAUAAGGUUCUUAUGAUUGUUUCACAGAUGGUAUAAGGUUCUUAUGCUUGUUUAUCAGAUGGUAUAAGGUUCUUCUGCUUGUGUCACAGAUGGUAUAAGGUUCUAAUGCUUGUGUCACAGAUGGUAUAAGGUUCUUAUGCUUGUUUCACAGAUGGAAUAAGGUUCUUAUGCUUGUUUCACAGAUGGUAUA